CCUGGCGGCGUGCUUACCAUGCNAGUCGAACGGUGAUCCUGAAAGCUUGCUUUUGGGUGAGCAGUGGCGAACGGGUGAGUAACACGUGAGUAACCUGCCCCUGACUCUGGAAUAAGCGCUGGAAACGGCGUCUAAUACCGGAUAUGACACCAAUCCGCAUGGGUAUGGUGUGGAAAGUUUUUCGGUCUGGGAUGGACUCGCGGCCUAUCAGCUUGUUGGUGAGGUAAUGGCUCACCAAGGCGAUGACGGGUAGCCGGCCUGAGAGGGCGAUCGGCCACACUGGGACUGAGACACGGCCCAGACUCCUACGGGAGGCAGCAGUGGGGAAUAUUGCACAAUGGGCGCAAGCCUGAUGCAGCGACGCCGCGUGAGGGAUGACGGCCUUCGGGUUGUAAACCUCUUUCAGCAGGGAAGAAGCGAAAGUGACGGUACCUGCAGAAGAAGCACCGGCUAACUACGUGCCAGCAGCCGCGGUAAU
RNAcentral lists this ribosomal RNA (478 nucleotides) under uncultured bacterium. RNAcentral's name for it is "bacterial SSU rRNA". It matches the Rfam family "Bacterial small subunit ribosomal RNA", at positions 36 to 524 of the family's 1533-position model. The record is from RNAcentral.